RNAcentral lists this non-coding RNA (89 nucleotides) under Serratia sp. FGI94. The record is from RNAcentral. Lineage: Bacteria; Pseudomonadati; Pseudomonadota; Gammaproteobacteria; Enterobacterales; Yersiniaceae.
CGCUAUCAUCAUUAUUUUCAUUAUUACCUUCAUUAUCGUAAUGAUAAUCCCUGUACUUUUUACAGCCGGCCCCCGGGCCGGUUUUUUAU